Molecule: ribosomal RNA, 253 nt
Filed under: uncultured bacterium
Lineage: Bacteria
Description: partial 16S ribosomal RNA
Rfam family: Bacterial small subunit ribosomal RNA
Source: RNAcentral
UACGUAGGUGGCAAGCGUUAUCCGGAUUUAUUGGGUGUAAAGGGCGUGUAGGCGGGAGCACAAGUCAGAUGUGAAAACUCAGGGCUCAACCCUGAGCCUGCAUUUGAAACUGUGUUUCUUGAGUGCUGGAGAGGCAAUCGGAAUUCCGUGUGUAGCGGUGAAAUGCGUAGAUAUACGGAGGAACACCAGUGGCGAAGGCGGAUUGCUGGACAGUAACUGACGCUGAGGCGCGAAAGCGUGGGGAGCAAACAGG